RNAcentral lists this ribosomal RNA (786 nucleotides) under uncultured bacterium. RNAcentral describes it as "bacterial SSU rRNA". It matches the Rfam family "Bacterial small subunit ribosomal RNA", at positions 8 to 796 of the family's 1533-position model. The record is from RNAcentral.
AGAGUUUGAUCCUGGCUCAGAUUGAACGCUGGCGGUAUGCUUAACACAUGCAAGUCGAACGGUAGGUACUUCGGUAUCGAGAGUGGCGGACGGGUGAGUAACGCGUAGGAAUCUGCCUGUUAGUGGGGGACAACGUGGGGAAACUCACGCUAAUACCGCAUACGCCCUACGGGGGAAAGCGGGGGAUCUUCGGACCUCGCGCUAUGAGAUGAGCCUGCGUUAGAUUAGCUAGUUGGUGGGGUAAAGGCCUACCAAGGCGACGAUCUAUAGCUGGUCUGAGAGGACGAUCAGCCACACUGGGACUGAGACACGGCCCAGACUCCUACGGGAGGCAGCAGUGGGGAAUAUUGGACAAUGGGCGAAAGCCUGAUCCAGCAAUACCGCGUGUGUGAAGAAGGCCUUAGGGUUGUAAAGCACUUUCAAUUGGGAGGAAAACCUACCGGUCAAUACCCGGUAGCUUGACAUUACCUUUAGAAGAAGCACCGGCUAACUCCGUGCCAGCAGCCGCGGUAAUACGGAGGGUGCGAGCGUUAAUCGGAAUUACUGGGCGUAAAGCGUGCGUAGGCGGUUCGUUAAGUCAGAUGUGAAAGCCCUGGGCUCAACCUGGGAACGGCAUUUGAAACUGGCGGACUAGAGUUUAGUAGAGGGGAGUGGAAUUUCAGGUGUAGCGGUGAAAUGCGUAGAUAUCUGAAGGAACACCAGUGGCGAAGGCGACUCCCUGGACUAGAACUGACGCUGAGGUACGAAAGCGUGGGUAGCAAACAGGAUUAGAUACCCUGGUAGUCC